Sorex fumeus (smoky shrew) is the source of this 107-nucleotide small nuclear RNA. Lineage: Eukaryota; Metazoa; Chordata; Mammalia; Eulipotyphla; Soricidae. The record is from RefSeq and is a predicted model, not a curated record.
GUGCUCGCUUCAGCAGCACGUAUGCUAAAAUUGGAACAAUACAAAGAAGAUGAGCACAGCCCCUGCUCAAUGGUGACUCAUAAAUUUGUGAAGCAUUCCAUUUUUUU